Molecule: ribosomal RNA, 253 nt
Filed under: uncultured bacterium
Lineage: Bacteria
Description: partial 16S ribosomal RNA
Rfam family: Bacterial small subunit ribosomal RNA
Source: RNAcentral
UACGGGGAGGGCAAGCGUUGUUCGGAAUUACUGGGCGUAAAGGGCUUGUAGGUGGCCAACUAAGUCAGACGUGAAAUCCCUCGGCUUAACCGGGGAACUGCGUCUGAUACUGGAUGGCUGGAGUGUGGGAGAGGGAUGCGGAAUUCCAGGUGUAGCGGUGAAAUGCGUAGAUAUCUGGAGGAACACCGGUGGCGAAGGCGGCAUCCUGGACCAUUACUGACACUGAAAAGCGAAAGUCAGGGGAGCAAACGGG